AGUUCGUGGAGUAAUUUGUCAGGUUAAUUCCGUUAACGAACGAGACCUUAACUUGCUAAUUGGGGUCGGAUAUUUCAUAUCUUACCCCAUUAGAAGGACCAUGUGUGCAUAACACAAGGAAGCGUGAGGCAAUAACAGG
Molecule: ribosomal RNA, 139 nt
Filed under: Apicomplexa sp.
Lineage: Eukaryota; Apicomplexa
Description: partial small subunit ribosomal RNA
Rfam family: Eukaryotic small subunit ribosomal RNA
Source: RNAcentral